This 460-nucleotide ribosomal RNA is filed under the name uncultured bacterium. RNAcentral's name for it is "partial 16S ribosomal RNA". It matches the Rfam family "Bacterial small subunit ribosomal RNA", at positions 338 to 795 of the family's 1533-position model. The record is from RNAcentral.
CCUACGGGCGGCAGCAGUGAGGAAUAUUGGUCAAUGGCCGGAAGGCUGAACCAGCCAUGCCGCGUGAAGGUCAGUGCCCUAUGGGCGUUAAACUUCUUUUGUGCGGGAGCAAUAAUGGUCACGUGUGGCCAGACGAGAGUCACGUACGAAUAAGCAUCGGAUUACUACGUGCCAGCCGCCGCGGUAAUACGGGGGAUGCAAGCGUUAUCCGGUUUUAUUGGGUUUAAAGGGUGCGUAGGCUGUGAGGUAAGUCAGCGGUGAAAUGUCCCCGCUCAACGGGGUGAAGUGCCAUUGAUACUGCCUUGCUGGAAUGCGGAUGCCGUGGGAGGAAUGUGUGGUGUAGCGGUGAAAUGCAUAGAUAUCACACAGAACACCGAUUGCGAAGGCAUCUCACGAAUCCGCGAUUGACGCUGAUGCACGAAAGCGUGGGUAUCAAACAGGAUUAGAUACCCCAGUAGUC